Molecule: ribosomal RNA, 929 nt
Filed under: Cortinarius sp. PDD 106628
Lineage: Eukaryota; Fungi; Basidiomycota; Agaricomycetes; Agaricales; Cortinariaceae
Description: partial large subunit ribosomal RNA
Rfam family: Eukaryotic large subunit ribosomal RNA
Source: RNAcentral
CAUAUCAAUAAGCGGAGGAAAAGAAACUAACAAGGAUUCCCCUAGUAACUGCGAGUGAAGCGGGAAAAGCUCAAAUUUAAAAUCUGUCAGUCUUUGGCUGUCCGAGUUGUAAUCUAGAGAAGUGUUAUCCGCGCUGGACCGUGUACAAGUCUCCUGGAAUGGAGCGUCAUAGAGGGUGAGAAUCCCGUCUUUGACACGGACUGCCAGGGCUUUGUGAUGCACUCUCAAAGAGUCGAGUUGUUUGGGAAUGCAGCUCAAAAUGGGUGGUAAAUUCCAUCUAAAGCUAAAUAUUGGCGAGAGACCGAUAGCGAACAAGUACCGUGAGGGAAAGAUGAAAAGAACUUUGGAAAGAGAGUUAAACAGUACGUGAAAUUGCUGAAAGGGAAACGCUUGAAGUCAGUCGCGUUGUCCAGGGAUCAACCUUGCUUUUGCUUGGUGUACUUUCUGGUUGACGGGUCAGCAUCAAUUUUGACUGUUGGAAAAAGGUCAAGGGAAUGUUGCAUCUUUAGAUGUGUUAUAGCCCUUGGUUGCAUACAAUGGUUGGGAUUGAGGAACUCAGCACGCCGCAAGGCCGGGUAUUAACCACGUACGUGCUUAGGAUGCUGGCAUAAUGGCUUUAAUCGACCCGUCUUGAAACACGGACCAAGGAGUCUAACAUGCCUGCGAGUGUUUGGGUGGAAAACCCGAGCGCGUAAUGAAAGUGAAAGUUGAGAUCCCUGUCGUGGGGAGCAUCGACGCCCGGACCAGACCUUUUGUGACGGUUCCGCGGUAGAGCAUGUAUGUUGGGACCCGAAAGAUGGUGAACUAUGCCUGAAUAGGGUGAAGCCAGAGGAAACUCUGGUGGAGGCUCGUAGCGAUUCUGACGUGCAAAUCGAUCGUCAAAUUUGGGUAUAGGGGCGAAAGACUAAUCGAACCAUUCUAGUAGCUGG